This 400-nucleotide ribosomal RNA is filed under the name phytoplankton environmental sample. Its description in RNAcentral is "partial small subunit ribosomal RNA". It matches the Rfam family "Eukaryotic small subunit ribosomal RNA", at positions 587 to 980 of the family's 1831-position model. The record is from RNAcentral.
AGCUCCAAAAGCGUAUAUUAAAGUUGCUGCAGUUAAAAAGCUCGUAGUUGGAUUUCUGGCGUGACAUGCCUGGCCCGCCGCUUUAUAGUAGUGAGUGCUGGCGCUGUGUCUGCCAUCCUUCCAGAAAUUACGGAUCCCUUUCGUUAGGAUGUCCGCUAAGGUCUGGAUCUUUUACUUUGAAAAAAUUAGAGUGUUCAAAGCAGGCUCGUCGCUGUGAAUACAUUAGCAUGGAAUAAUAAUUUAGGACAAUCUGUCUUAUUUUGUUGGUCUAUAAGAUGUUUGUAAUGAUUGAUAGGGAUAGUUGGGGGUGCUAGUAUUCAGCGGCCAGAGGUGAAAUUCUCAGAUUCGCUGAAGACUAACUUAUGCGAAAGCAUUCACCAAGGAUGUCUUCUUUAAUCAA